Long non-coding RNA from Alosa alosa (allis shad), 423 nucleotides. RefSeq lists it as uncharacterized. The transcript is spliced from 3 exons. The record is from RefSeq and is a predicted model, not a curated record. NCBI's taxonomy places the organism in Eukaryota, Metazoa, Chordata, Actinopteri, Clupeiformes, Clupeidae.
GUGAAGGGUGCAGUCCCGUCCUUUAUUUGGCUAACGCAGCUCAGCAUGGACCAACUCCAGUCAAAUGCUGUGAUAGCUACUCAUCUCAUGUGAUUCCUAUAGGCAAGGUAGUGUCUUACUUCACAACCAGCAGUAGCUGCUACCUGAAUGCGCAUGUGCUUAAAACAGUAGCAGGUAAGGAGUUCUGUGUGAAGCCUGACCUGCACUGGGUAAAGAAGAUUGUGGACAAGUUGGAUAUGAGGACAUAAGCUUCUCCAGCUUCCCAUCGGUGAAUCAACCCUCUAUGGUCGCUCUGAAGAAGUCCUGGGACUUUCCUGCAUUGUCUGAUGACAGUGAUUUACUCAACUAAUUUAAGCUUCUUCAAACUCUGACUAUGCUGUUGUUUGUACAAAAUCAGUGUUGUUGUGCUACUGUGAAAUUUGU